This 506-nucleotide ribosomal RNA is filed under the name uncultured bacterium. RNAcentral describes it as "partial 16S ribosomal RNA". It matches the Rfam family "Bacterial small subunit ribosomal RNA", at positions 29 to 523 of the family's 1533-position model. The record is from RNAcentral.
AGUGAACGCUGGCGGUAGGCCUAACACAUGCAAGUCGAACGGCAGCACAGAGGAGCUUGCUCCUUGGGUGGCGAGUGGCGGACGGGUGGGGAAUACAUCGGAAUCUACUCUGUCGUGGUGGAUAUCGUAGGGAAACUUACGCUAAUACCGCAUACGACCUACGGGUGAAAGAAGGGGACCUUCGGGCCUUGCGCGAUUGAAUGAGCCGAUGUCGGAUUAGCUAGUUCGCGGGGUAAAGGCACACCAAGGCGACGAUCCGUAGCUGGUCCGAGAGGAUGAUCAGCCACACUGGAACUGAGACACGGUCCAGACUCCUACGGGAGGCAGCAGUGGGGAAUAUUGGACAAUGGGCGCAAGCCUGAUCCAGCCAUACCGCGUGGGUGAAGAAGGCCUUCGGGUUGUAAAGCCCUUUUGUUGGGAAAGAAAUCCAGCUGGCUAAUACCCGGUUGGGAUGACGGUACCCAAAGAAUAAGCACCGGCUAACUUCGUGCCAGCAGCCGCGGUAA